RNAcentral lists this unclassified non-coding RNA (517 nucleotides) under Hevea brasiliensis (rubber tree). Lineage: Eukaryota; Viridiplantae; Streptophyta; Magnoliopsida; Malpighiales; Euphorbiaceae. The record is from RNAcentral.
AAUGAGAAAAGAAAAGGUUCUAUGAACAAUUUACAUAUUAACUUUAUUUUUCUUAAGCUUCUAAGAUUUAGAACACAGCAACUUGACAACUAAUCAAAUAUGUGCAUAUUUAAUUCUAUGAAAAACAAGGUAAUUUUAAUGUCAAAAAACUUAUUUUACUCAAAACUUCCAAGUAUUAUUUCAAGGAAGCAACAGAUAGUAAUCUUGAUUAUGCGAAAAAUUUUAUUUCUAUUUUUGCCACUAUUUUAUAUUUAAAGGAGUUGUACAACCAUAACUAGCUAGAAUUAAAAUUACAUAUAAAUCCCAUAAAAGAAUAAUUAUAUUAUUUGAAAAUAGAAAGUAGAAAUUUACCAAAAAUUACCACUUGGUAAAUAACGAGGAGCAAAAUCAUGCAGAUUUAGCAUCAAAAGAAACCAUCUUAAUAACAAAAGGCAUGAUACCACAAUAAGCAGUAAUUGAAGAUUUAGAAUUUGAGUAUUAAUAAUUCACCAACUCUGAAAUGGUAGCUUACCCAAGA